AUCACGCCAUCCAACCAUCCUUGC
This 24-nucleotide non-coding RNA is filed under the name Arabidopsis thaliana (thale cress). Lineage: Eukaryota; Viridiplantae; Streptophyta; Magnoliopsida; Brassicales; Brassicaceae. The record is from RNAcentral.